UACGGAGGGUGCAAGCGUUAUUCGGAAUUACUGGGCGUAAAGCGCACGUAGGCCGCUUUGUAAGUCAGGGGUGAAAUCCCACGGCUCAACCGUGGAACUGCCCUUGAAACUGCGAAGCUUGAAUCCUGGAGAGGGUGGCGGAAUUCCUGGUGUAGGAGUGAAAUCCGUAGAUAUCAGGAGGAACACCGGUGGCGAAGGCGGCCACCUGGACAGGUAUUGACGCUGAGGUGCGAAAGUGUGGGGAGCAAACAGG
This 253-nucleotide ribosomal RNA is filed under the name uncultured bacterium. RNAcentral describes it as "partial 16S ribosomal RNA". It matches the Rfam family "Bacterial small subunit ribosomal RNA", at positions 524 to 776 of the family's 1533-position model. The record is from RNAcentral.